RNAcentral lists this ribosomal RNA (484 nucleotides) under uncultured bacterium. RNAcentral's name for it is "partial 16S ribosomal RNA". It matches the Rfam family "Bacterial small subunit ribosomal RNA", at positions 28 to 507 of the family's 1533-position model. The record is from RNAcentral.
AUUGAACGCUGGCGGCAUGCUUUACACAUGCAAGUCGAACGGCAGCGCGGGCUUCGGCCUGGCGGCGAGUGGCGAACGGGUGAGUAAUGCAUCUGAACGUGCCCAGUAGUGGGGGAUAGCCCGGCGAAAGCCGGAUUAAUACCGCAUACGACCUGAGGGUGCAAGCGGGGGACCGAAAGGCCUCGCGCUAUUGGAGCGGCCGAUGUCGGAUUAGCUAGUUGGUGGGGUAAAGGCUUACCAAGGCGACGCUCCGUAGCUGGUCUCAGAGGACGACCAGCCACACUGGGAGGGAGAAACGGCCAAGACUCCUACGGGAGGCAGCAGUGGGGAAUUUUGGACAAUGGGGGCAACCCUGAUCCAGCCAUGCCGCGUGCGGGAAGAAGGCCUUCGGGUUGUAAAGCGCUUUUGUUCGGGAAGAAAUCCUCUGGGCUAAUACCCCGGGGGGAUGACGGUACCGGAAGAAUAAGCACCGGCUAACUACGUG